CUAGUACUCCCUCCAUCUGAAAAUUCUUGUCUUAGAUUUGUCUAGGUAAGAAUCUAUCUAGUCUUGUUUUGGUAUUUAGAUGCAUCCAUUUAUAGACAAAUCUAUGACAAGAAUUUUAGGACGGAGGGAGUAGUUG
RNAcentral lists this microRNA precursor (136 nucleotides) under Hordeum vulgare. RNAcentral's name for it is "microRNA MIR1122". It matches the Rfam family "MIR1120/MIR1122 microRNA precursor family". Lineage: Eukaryota; Viridiplantae; Streptophyta; Magnoliopsida; Poales; Poaceae. The record is from RNAcentral.